GCAAUAAAGAUGGUCUAAUAGUA
Molecule: non-coding RNA, 23 nt
Filed under: Arabidopsis thaliana (thale cress)
Lineage: Eukaryota; Viridiplantae; Streptophyta; Magnoliopsida; Brassicales; Brassicaceae
Source: RNAcentral